This 301-nucleotide ribosomal RNA is filed under the name uncultured bacterium. RNAcentral describes it as "partial 16S ribosomal RNA". It matches the Rfam family "Bacterial small subunit ribosomal RNA", at positions 509 to 807 of the family's 1533-position model. The record is from RNAcentral.
CAGUCGCCGCGGUAAUACGAAGGGGGCUAGCGUUGUUCGGAUUUACUGGGCGUAAAGCGCACGUAGGCGGAAAUUUAAGUCAGGGGUGAAAUCCCGAGGCUCAACCUCGGAACUGCCUUUGAUACUGGGUUUCUUGAGUCCGGAAGAGGUGAGUGGAACUGCGAGUGUAGAGGUGAAAUUCGUAGAUAUUCGCAAGAACACCAGUGGCGAAGGCGGCUCACUGGUCCGGAACUGACGCUGAGGUGCGAAAGCGUGGGGAGCAAACAGGAUUAGAGACCCCAGUAGUCCCUGUCUCUUAUAC